GUUAUUUUUGUUUAGAGUAAAAUGCGAUUUUUGUCGCUGAGGUUUGGCCAGUUUUGCGACUUUUGUCCAAAGGUUUGUUUUUCCGCAUCUAGAUCCAAAAGUUUUGAUGAAUAGUAGGACCCGAUGUUAACAUGUGUGUGUAGGCAAUUGAUGAAUAUUGAAUGUAUAUGUUACAAAUAAAGAUAUGUAUGUUGUGUUGAUGUAGAUUGGAGCUCAUCAAUUCAAGGUUAGCAAUGGGGAUUGCAUAUUCACAGAAAAGUUAAAGUUCUAUGAAGUGAAUGAUAAGGCCUUAGAUGCAAAAUUAAUUAUCUUUAAGAAAAAGAGAAGAAAGAAUUAUUGAUGAAUAAAAUGUCAUAGACAGAGGUGAGUUUACUCACCAUGUUAAAUCCGUGUCAAUGUCUAAUUUUACUUCACAAGAAGUUGAAGCCCUUAAAGAAGGCAGUAAUCAGCAUGCAAUGGAAACAUUUAUAAGAGAUUGGGACCCACGAGAACAUAGACUUCUACAUAACAGCAAUGUGGAGAAAGUUUGAGAUUUUAUAAAGAGUGUCUACGUGGAUAAGAAGUUUUUCACUUCAAAGGCGUCCGGAAAACCUCCUAGAGAUGCAAUGGAUGGUUCGGUUCUAUAUUGGAUGUGAUGGAAGUUGUUUUGAAGGCAUUUGCACCAAGGAGGUACUAUGAAAUCGACCUCCAUUAACGGCGUGAAGAUGUAUACAGUUGCAGGAUAACAUCGCUCGCUGGCCACUUGGCUACCGCCGAAGAAGCUUAGAGCUCUUCGCAAAGACAAAAAUUACACGGAAAGGGUGGAUUUGAUCCAAGAUUUAAGAUUUGUCAACGUUCUAAAGCCAUUGGUACAUAAUUGCACGCCAAUUACUCGACAAAAUGUCUCAAUGAAGUGCUGCCAUAAAAAUUGAAGUCAUAACGAUGUCCAGCAGAGUUCCAGCAAUAAGCAACUAACACACUUCUACUACAAAUUGCACCAA
Molecule: long non-coding RNA, 980 nt
Organism: Helianthus annuus (common sunflower)
Lineage: Eukaryota; Viridiplantae; Streptophyta; Magnoliopsida; Asterales; Asteraceae
Exons: 7
Source: RefSeq, a predicted model, not a curated record